This 253-nucleotide ribosomal RNA is filed under the name uncultured bacterium. Its description in RNAcentral is "partial 16S ribosomal RNA". It matches the Rfam family "Bacterial small subunit ribosomal RNA", at positions 524 to 776 of the family's 1533-position model. The record is from RNAcentral.
UACGUAGGGUGCAAGCGUUGUCCGGAAUUAUUGGGCGUAAAGAGCUUGUAGGCGGUUUGUCGCGUCUGCUGUGAAAUUUCGGGGCUCAACCCCGAACUUGCAGUGGGUACGGGCAGACUAGAGUGUGGUAGGGGAGACUGGAAUUCCUGGUGUAGCGGUGAAAUGCGCAGAUAUCGGGAAGAACACCCGUGGCUAAGGCGGCUCUCUAGUACGGUACUGACGCUGAGACGCGAAAGCGUGGGGAGCGAACAGG